AGUGAACGCUGGCGGUAGGCCUAACACAUGCAAGUCGAACGGCAGCACAGUAAGAGCUUGCUCUUACGGGUGGCGAGUGGCGGACGGGUGAGGAAUACAUCGGAAUCUACUUUUUCGUGGGGGAUAACGUAGGGAGACUUACGCUAAUACCGCAUACGACCUACGGGUGAAAGCAGGGGAUCUUCGGACCUUGCGCGAUUGAAUGAGCCGAUGUCGGAUUAGCUAGUUGGCGGGGUAAAGGCCCACCAAGGCGACGAUCCGUAGCUGGUCUGAGAGGAUGAUCAGCCACACUGGAACUGACACGGUCCAGACUCCUACGGGAGGCAGCAGUGGGGAAUAUUGGACAAUGGGCGCAAGCCUGAUCCAGCCAUACCACGUGGGUGAAGAAGGCCUUCGGGUUGUAAAGCCCUUUUGUUGGGAAAGAAAAGCAGCAGGUUAAUACCCCGCUGUUCUGACGGUACCCAAAGAAUAAGCACCGGCUAACUUCGUG
This 490-nucleotide ribosomal RNA is filed under the name uncultured bacterium. Its description in RNAcentral is "partial 16S ribosomal RNA". It matches the Rfam family "Bacterial small subunit ribosomal RNA", at positions 29 to 507 of the family's 1533-position model. The record is from RNAcentral.